AGCAGUACCGCGGUAAUACGUAGGUGGCGAGCGUUGUCCGGAAUCAUUGGGCGUAAAGGGAGCGCAGGCGGGCAUGUAAGUCUUUCUUAAAAGUGCGGGGCUCAACCCCGUGAUGGGAAAGAAACUACAUGUCUUGAGUACAGGAGAGGAAAGCGGAAUUCCCAGUGUAGCGGUGAAAUGCGUAGAUAUUGGGAGGAACACCAGUGGCGAAGGCGGCUUUCUGGACUGCAACUGACGCUGAGGCUCGAAAGCCAGGGGAGCGAACGGGAUUAGAUACCCCCGUAGUCCCUGUCUCUUAUACAC
This 303-nucleotide ribosomal RNA is filed under the name uncultured bacterium. RNAcentral's name for it is "partial 16S ribosomal RNA". It matches the Rfam family "Bacterial small subunit ribosomal RNA", at positions 510 to 810 of the family's 1533-position model. The record is from RNAcentral.